RNAcentral lists this non-coding RNA (49 nucleotides) under Trichobilharzia regenti. The record is from RNAcentral. Lineage: Eukaryota; Metazoa; Platyhelminthes; Trematoda; Strigeidida; Schistosomatidae.
GUACUGCUGAACCAGAGUCCCAAAAUAGGACGAAACAGCUGUCCAGUAC